GCGGCGGUAGCUCAGUUGGUAGAGCGCGACCCUCCCACGGUCGAGGUCGCGAGUUCGAAUCUCGUCCGCCGCU
This 73-nucleotide transfer RNA is filed under the name Salinisphaera orenii subsp. orenii MK-B5. Its description in RNAcentral is "Salinisphaera sp. MKB5 tRNA". It matches the Rfam family "tRNA". From Rfam's summary of the family: Transfer RNA (tRNA) molecules are approximately 80 nucleotides in length. Their secondary structure includes four short double-helical elements and three loops (D, anti-codon, and T loops). RNAcentral also lists the same sequence under 3 other names. The record is from Rfam by way of RNAcentral. Lineage: Bacteria; Pseudomonadati; Pseudomonadota; Gammaproteobacteria; Salinisphaerales; Salinisphaeraceae.